ACGACUCUCGGCAACGGAUAUCUCGGCUCUUGCAUCGAUGAAGAACGUAGCGAAAUGCGAUACUUGGUGUGAAUUGCAGAAUCCCGUGAACCAUCGAGUCUUUGAACGCAAGUUGCGCCCGAGGCCGUCAGGCCAAGGGCACGCCUGCCUGGGUGUCAC
Molecule: ribosomal RNA, 159 nt
Filed under: Dalbergia latifolia
Lineage: Eukaryota; Viridiplantae; Streptophyta; Magnoliopsida; Fabales; Fabaceae
Description: 5.8S ribosomal RNA
Rfam family: 5.8S ribosomal RNA
About the family: 5.8S ribosomal RNA (5.8S rRNA) is a component of the large subunit of the eukaryotic ribosome.
Source: RNAcentral